UGGGGAAUAUUGCACAAUGGGCGCAAGCCUGAUGCAGCCAUGCCGCGUGUAUGAAGAAGGCCUUCGGGUUGUAAAGUACUUUCAGUCGGGAGGAAGGUGGUAAGGUUAAUAACCUUAUCAAUUGACGUUACCGACAGAAGAAGCACCGGCUAACUCAGUGCCAGCAGCCGCGGUAAUACGGAGGGUGCAAGCGUUAAUCGGAAUUACUGGGCGUAAAGCGCACGCAGGCGGUUGAUUGAGUCAGAUGUGAAAUCCCCGGGCUUAACCCGGGAAUUGCAUCUGAUACUGGUCAGCUAGAGUCUUGUAGAGGGGGGUAGAAUUCCAUGUGUAGCGGUGAAAUGCGUAGAGAUGUGGAGGAAUACCGGUGGCGAAGGCGGCCCCCUGGACAAAGACUGACGCUCAGGUGCGAAAGCGUGGGGAGCAAACAGG
RNAcentral lists this ribosomal RNA (429 nucleotides) under Chloroflexota bacterium. RNAcentral describes it as "Chloroflexi bacterium partial 16S ribosomal RNA". It matches the Rfam family "Bacterial small subunit ribosomal RNA", at positions 355 to 776 of the family's 1533-position model. Lineage: Bacteria; Bacillati; Chloroflexota. The record is from RNAcentral.